Molecule: ribosomal RNA, 460 nt
Filed under: uncultured bacterium
Lineage: Bacteria
Description: partial 16S ribosomal RNA
Rfam family: Bacterial small subunit ribosomal RNA
Source: RNAcentral
CCUACGGGAGGCAGCAGUGAGGAAUAUUGGUCAAUGGGCGGAAGCCUGAACCAGCCAAGUCGCGUGAGGGAUUAAGGCCCUGCGGGUCGUAAACCUCUUUUGCCGGGGGGCAGUGGUCCGGACGCGUCCGGCCCGGGAGAGUACCCGGAGAAAAAGCAUCGGCUAACUCCGUGCCAGCAGCCGCGGUAAUACGGGGGCUGCGAGCGUUAUCCGGAUUUAUUGGGUUUAAAGGGUGCGUCGGCGGGCAUUUAAGCCGGCGGUCAAAUGUCGGGGCUCAACCCCGGCCUGCCGUCGGAACUGGGUGCCUUGAGUGGGCGAGAAGUAUGCGGAAUGCGUGGUGUAGCGGUGAAAUGCAUAGAUAUCACGCAGAACCCCGAUUGCGAAGGCAGCAUACCGGCGCCCUACUGACGCUGAGGCACGAAAGUGCGGGGAUCGAACAGGAUUAGAUACCCUGGUAGUC